AAAGGUGAAAUUGGUUUAUUAAAUAUUAGUUAAUUAUAUAUGUUGAGGCUAUAAAAUUUGUGGGAUAAACUAGGAUUAGAUACCCUAUUAUACAUAGAUUAAAAUAAAAUUAUAUCAGAUUAUUUUUAGUUAUGUUCUUAAAAAUCAAAGAACUUGGCGGUACUUUAGUCUUGUUAGAGGAACCUGUUUUAUAAGUGAUAAACCACGUAAUAUCUUGCUUAAGUAUGUAUACCGUCAUUAUUAGAUAAUUUUUAUAGAAUUUUAAUUGUUGAAAUAAUUAAAAAAUAAAAUUAAUAUAUUAGAUCAAGGUGCAGCUAAUAAUUAAGUAAAAAUGGGUUACAAUAAGUUUAAUUUAUAUGGAUUAAUUAUUAUGAAGGUGGAUUUAAUUGUAUUUUAAUUUAAUAAGGAAAAAUGAUAAUAGCUCUAGAUUAUGUACAUAUCGCCCGUCGCUUUC
This 454-nucleotide ribosomal RNA is filed under the name Austinogebia edulis. RNAcentral describes it as "partial 12S small subunit ribosomal RNA". The record is from RNAcentral. Lineage: Eukaryota; Metazoa; Arthropoda; Malacostraca; Decapoda; Upogebiidae.